GACGAAGGUGGCAAGCGUUGUUCGGAAUCACUGGGCUUAAAGCGCACGUAGGCGGCUCAUCAAGUGUCUUGUGAAAUCCCUCGGCUCAACCGAGGAAUUGCUGGGCAUACUGAUUGGGCUUGAGGCAGGUAGAGGUGAGUGGAACUCUUGGUGGAGCGGUGGAAUGCGUAGAUAUCAAGAGGAACGCCGGAGGUGAAGACGAUUCACUAGGCCUGUCCUGACGCUGAGGUGCGAAAGCCAGGGGAGCAAACGGG
RNAcentral lists this ribosomal RNA (254 nucleotides) under uncultured bacterium. RNAcentral describes it as "partial 16S ribosomal RNA". It matches the Rfam family "Bacterial small subunit ribosomal RNA", at positions 524 to 776 of the family's 1533-position model. The record is from RNAcentral.